UCUCUUCUGACACAUUUUGCCUUCCCUCUCUCUUCUGUCAGGACACACACACACACACACACACACACACAGUGGAGGUGAAGUCGAGAGGCUUGUCUUAGCGUGCCAUCUGUCCUCGGCGCUGACGUUGGCUCUAAUUACUGCGUCUCCCCUGGCUAAUGCUGCCUCAUUAGGCCGCCGGAGCAUGUGCAGCCGACACAAGCGCUGCCGAGAAUUUGCACCAGGAAACGUGAGCUCGAGCCAUUAUGGGUUCAGGAAAUCUGUCUGGUGCGACAGGCAAUUCACACCAACGGUUAAACGCUCAUUUUGCUUCUCUCUCUUUAAUUCUUCCUCUCUCUCUCUCUCUCUCUCGUGCUCUCUCGCUCCUCUCGCCUAGCUUUGGACAGCGAUUCGGAGGCCCGAGUCCAAGCACCAAAACAAAGGAGUCAAGAAGAAGUCGAGCUCCAAGAGAGACCAGAGAGGCACGCAUGAAUUCACCCGACGUCGACCCAGGAGAGGCAGCACAGAGAGAAUAAGGAAUGACAGGACAGAUUUCAUGGAGGGAUUCAGCGGCAGAUGAAUAAGAGUCUCCGUCAGCGCGUCUCAGACUUCUGCGGCAGGUGGAGGGUGAAAUGUCGACUCGAGGCCCGUUCGCUCAGAUCGGGCUUUGUGCAGCGUUCAUUGGUGAAGGAGUGACUGGACGUUCGUCAUUGUGUUUGCAGCCGGCCGUUGGCGAGCGGGAGCCGGUCCAGCCAUCUUGUGUGGAAAAUUCCGGACUGGGCACGAGCCGGCCAUCUGCAGCUCCAGGCCUUCAGCAGCCAAACGCAGAAACACUCGAGCUACUGGAGGGUUCGGAGGAGGGAGGAAGAAGGAAAUCAACAGCAGAAAUGUCUCCAUGUUGGAAGGAAAAGGUUUGACUAGUCAUGAUUGCAGAGUGAUUACAUUUACUGAAGUCGUUGAGCUUCUGGUACCUUUACUUUAGUCUUUCCAAGGUCCUUUUAGUAGCUGCUGUGGGGCUUUUCAUCAUAUCGCCUGGUCUUCAUCAGCAGCUUUUUUAUUUUGUACAUGUUGGUUUAAACGUGGAGGAUCAGAGUUUAUUCUCUGGAAACAGCAGUUGACAAAAUGAUCACACCAACAGCGAGUAACUGUACUUAGGACACGUCGUGUAAAGACAAUCAUUACAGACGUGCAUUUGUCCCUCCAGCAGUUGAACGUAUUGAUCAGUGUAGGCCGGUUCUUAUUAUUGUAUGAUUGAUUGUAUGUAAAGUGAGAUGUGUGUUUGUGUGCUCGUCACUUAUGAAGGGGAUUCUUUAAAAGUUUUGGUUUGUUACUUUUCUUCUAUGCAGAAAGUCCUUCAGUUGUCUUUCUCGAGAGACGAUAAAAGCAAGCUUGACCUUUGACCUUUUGAUUGCCCUUUGUAGAUCCAGUUUAUACUUUUCUGUAAUAAAAUGUUUUUUAAAAAAAAGUAUAACUGACCCUACUCCUACAAACUCAUCCUAUCAGAUAAAUCUGCCUAUUUCUCCAUAACUGAUAUCCAAUUUGUAAAUUGAUCCCUCACUGUGCUGCUGCCCCGCCCCCAACAUCCUGUUUCAACAGGAAAUACAUCACAUUAAGGAAGUAAUACAUAACAUGAGGCUUUUAACUAGGCCUGGCAUACCUGCAGAGUUUGACGUGUGGGACAGACACACUGUGACUGUUAAUCCACCUCUGAACACCUGAAAAGAUGUUUACCCAGAAUCCUGUGGGGUGUUUGUGGAGAGUUGACCUGGCUCUUCAGGUAGAGAGCCGUGUGUGUGUGUGUGUGUGUGUGUGUGUGUGAAUCACAGCGUGCGGCGGCGGUUGUGCAGUUUCUCCGUUGUUUAAGAGCAGGUCGGGGAGGGAAGGUGACAUCAUCUCUACACCUGAGGCGGCGGAGCUGACACCUCCAUCUCUCAGACAGGCCCCUGGACCAGAACCCAGACGCUCCGGGUUUCACAUCGACUCUCCAUCCUGUGAAUCCAACCCGACCUCGGCAGACACUCCUGCAGACCUUCAGGGCCACCGUCCGCACCUACAGCGGAGUCUGUUUCCUGUUCAAACAGAGUCUUCCCUCUGAGCCUGAGCCCGAUCCUUCUGUCUCAAUGGGACAGACAGGACCAAUCUGCGCAUUUACAUCCUGCAGAGAGACGGGGGCCGCCGGCGGAGCGUCUGCAGGCGGAGGCCGCAGGAGGACUGGGACUCUGCAGGAGGACCGGGACACCGGGGCUGAGCCGCUGCAGCAGCCGAGGAUCGGCUUCUUCCAGCGGAGGAUUUGCAGGUGUGACCACCGCUUCUGUCUGUCCUUUCUGUGUGUCUGAGAACUGCGACGUUUCACAGCUUUAAAAUCGUCCCUGGUCCGUUACACUGGAUUUAAUUAAAUUCCAAUAUAAAUAAUAAUAAUCUAAAUAUACUCUGUGCAGGCUGUCGGUAGGGAAAUAUUUGGAAAUGUAGUAAUAAUAAUAAUAAUAAUAAUAAAUAAUAAUGUCUGAUUUCCGUUUUUGUUGCACUAAAAAUUAGUAUAAGAAAAAUAGAAUUUGAAUCAUUUCUUCGGGUCCCAUUCAACACCAAAUCUCCAAAAUUCAAAUUACAUUCAAACGAAAUGCAGAUGUAAUUUGUUCCAGUGUUUCUGUUUCACAACAUGCGACAGCUUCUUUCUGUUUUCAGCUGAAAAAAAAAGGUUUUUAAGGAGGAAAAGAUCCUCUUUAUCCGUCUUUAUAACCUCACAUCAGUCGGUUUCCAACGUGUAAACAAAACGCUUUAUUUUUUUAUUUCAUUUUAUUUAUAUUUUUUUCAAAUCUGAACACAGGAAGUACAAAGCUUCUGCCCCCCCCCCCCAAAAGGAAACGAGUUGUACAGUUAGUGCCUUCGAUCCUAAAACGAUGAAAAAAUAGAUUUGACUAAGAAGAAGAAGAAGAAGUGCUACAUAAGGAGAUGAUGAGGUAAAUCUGUCCAGGAAGAAGAAAGCAACAGAUGAACGGAUGCAGUGAGAGAAACAAACAGUCCACACAUUAAUAUUAUUAUCAUUAUAUACACAUCAGAUGCAUAGAAUACUUUUUUUUUACAUAAAUACCUACUGUUUUUUUUUUUUUGUUGUUGUUGUUUCCAAAAAGACACAAACUACCAGCAGAAUGAAAAGUGAAACUGCUCCGGGAUCAGCUGGUGUGAGUCCGCAGCGCUGCCGCAGUGCCGCUGAGCAGGGCUGCGUGGGAAACCAGCCAUGACGCUCCUUUUAUCUCCUGCAUCAUCAGUGUCCGGACUUUGAGUCUGCAGUUUUCUUCUUGUUAACGAAUCCAGUUUUAAAAACUAACAAAAUAAUGUGUGUGUAUCCUGGGUGACAUGUUCCUUCAUCACCAUGAACACACACACACACACACACACACUGUAGUUUAUUCUAGUGUUCUUGCAGAACAGAACUUUGUGAAAAGAGGAAAUUCCAGGUUUCUCCAACAGGAAGUGAAGAGUUUAAUAAUCAUCAGGCUGUGAUGUUCAGCACAUUUCACAAGUUACUUCGUGUUGGGGAAAAAAAAUGUUGAAAUGUUCCUUUUUUUUUUUUUGGUGUCUUAAAGCAUUCUGGGAAACGUAGGAAAAUAACCAGUCAAAGCAGAGCUGACGAGACAAGAUGCCUUCUUACAGAAAACACAGACAGCCUCCAUGUAGCCCUCAACAACAGGUAUUUUCUCGUUAAAGGUCUCUUUCAGCAGUUUUUCUGAAAACCUGAACCAUGUCCAUAUUUUAAAUUACGGAUAGCAUCUGUUAGCAACAACUACAAUUCCCAUGAGGCUUUGGCAGCAUGUCAGUGGCCAAGACUAUAUGGAUAUCUGUCGCUGAAUGCUAACAAAGAGAGUGUAAUCUUAGUUAACACGAUUUUGUGUUUUUCUGUCCGGCAGAGUCGCAGAAAUCCGUGAAAGAAACCUUCUCUCCGAAAAUGAAGUUACAGAUGCUCGCGAGGUUCGUGCGCACGUCUCGCGGGACUCGUUACCGAGCAAACCGGAAACACGCUACCUGGCUGGCAACGUGCUAGCACUAGCUGGACUCAUUUGUUAAUGAGCAGCUUGAACACAGCACAUUACAUCACACAGAGAUGCAGCUUGUUUCUGUUAACAAACGAGGGUCGGGCCUGUAACUCUGCUUCCGCAUGUAGACUAAAACCCGGAUUACUCGUCUGAUUUCGGUCUGAAAUGUUGCUGUAAUAAAAGCCUGCGUGGCCGAGCCCUAACAGAGCGGAUGUGAUUUGAUUACAUGAUCAUUUUCCAACUUAACAAGUUGACAAAGACCAACCAAGUGCAGAAUUGAAGCUGUACAUUUCUGUCAACGUAAAACUCGAAAGCUGUUUCUCAGCUUCUUUCUGGAGUCACCAGACACCCGGUUUGAUUCUGACGUUUAUCAUUUUAGAUCAAAGUAUAAAAAAAGUACAGUAGAGAGUUCAGUUAAAAGACUCCGAACUCCUAAUGGAGUCUGGAAUGUAAAGAACAUCACAACCAGAUGCUUUUCAACAGAGUUCGUGUGUUUUUAAAGGAGGAUUCUUUCCUUCAGCUGCUCCGGCUGAGAAAAGUUGAAGUGAAACUUUCAUCCGAGUUUAUGGGAAAUGUUUCCGCCUCAGACUUCCUGCUGCAGGAACCCUGUUUUCCUCUUUCACAGGUUGUCGAGCUGAGCAGAUUUCCUGCGAGCCGGCUGCCGUCUGUUGCAGACAGACGCUGAGAAACCUUCAGCGGAGCAGCUUCUCGCUUUAAAUCGUCUCUUUUUCAGGACGCUGCCGUCGUUUGGCACCAAAGUCGACCGUCGAGAGUUCAGUCGACAGCCGUGGCCGCGUUUUAAGCUCCUCCCUCGUGGCUGAUCAUCGUCUGUACCAGGAGAGCUUUGACCUCCUGCUGUUUGCAUGAGCGCUGAUGCCUUCAGGGACAUCCAUCAGUCCUCGGGAAGGUAAGCUGUCAACAUCUGUGAUGAGUGUGAGAGUGUGUGUGUGUGUGUGUGUGUUGUCUAUAAAUCUGUAAUAAACUGUCUAAAUGUCUAGAAAACGUUAAGUCUUGGCAUGUUUGACAUUCUGACAGAUUAUUGCAACUUUUAGUGGCAAAACCCGAAACAAAUCUGAGCUGAAAUGAAACUGGAAAUAAAGAUUUGGGAGCGAGCAGAGGCAGGUUUGUAAACUCAGGUUCAUCACUUCCUGCAGCGUACCUAAACAGGAAACGCCUCCACCUGACCGCUACUGUUAAAACGCUGAGGUCAUGUCUUGUUACUCUCAGUAACUUUCCAUCCUGUUUAACAAAAGCGAUUUGUGAGCACUGUUCACUUGCAAAUGGUUUCAGUGUCAUGUUGCACAAAUGACUGUCGCUCACAAACUGCGGAGAGAUUUGCAUUUUGCUCUCGCAGGCUCACAGGUACGACCUUUGUUUAGAAACGUGUCAAAAUAAGAGAAGGAAUGCUGCGACGUCACCUUAUUGUGGUGCGGUCACAGAUGCCAUGUUUUUAAAUGAUUAAAUAAAACUGUAUAAUAGUGGUAAUAAUAGUCGUGCAGCCAUUUUUCGAACCAAACCAGAGAGAAAUAUCACUAAUUAUGACCUCAGUAUUUUUUUGCUCUGAAGUCUUUUAAAAAGGCUUUCACAGAUCAUCAGGUACUCGGGAAGCGUCGUGCGAGCGUAGCAGGACGAAAGCGUUUGUUCUGCGCUCAGCUGCAGGAGUUCCUUUCUGCUCGCUCACAUCUACAGACUGAACGCUCAAAACAUCAAUUACACAUUUCAUUCUGUCCUUUUCCUAAUGCAUCUGAAGCCUCUUUACUCUUCCAGACUGAUUCCAGCUCAUUUCUUUCUCUGUUGCUGAGUACUGCCACAUAUUAGUGGUGCGUUCAGUGUCUGCCUUUUACACACGUUUGUCUUUUCUUUUCAGUGCUUCAGGACGUUCAGCGCUCUGUUGACAAAGUCACACACUUUGUAUUUUUAUCUGCUAUUAGGCCAAAGUUAUAAUUUUACAGCAAAU
Siniperca chuatsi (mandarin fish) is the source of this 5967-nucleotide long non-coding RNA. RefSeq lists it as uncharacterized. NCBI's taxonomy places the organism in Eukaryota, Metazoa, Chordata, Actinopteri, Centrarchiformes, Sinipercidae. The record is from RefSeq and is a predicted model, not a curated record. The transcript has 6 exons.